Rattus norvegicus (Norway rat) is the source of this 94-nucleotide small nucleolar RNA. Ensembl annotates it as small nucleolar RNA SNORA17. The record is from Ensembl. Lineage: Eukaryota; Metazoa; Chordata; Mammalia; Rodentia; Muridae.
UGUGCCACACAUGUGUCAGUAGGUGGCAUAAAAGAGAGAGGAUGUGUCUCUGAUCAGUAUUCUGACAUAUCUGAAUUACUAGUAGUCUAGCAUU